Molecule: transfer RNA, 75 nt
Filed under: Anaerolineae bacterium
Lineage: Bacteria; Bacillati; Chloroflexota; Anaerolineae
Description: tRNA-Asp
Rfam family: tRNA
About the family: Transfer RNA (tRNA) molecules are approximately 80 nucleotides in length. Their secondary structure includes four short double-helical elements and three loops (D, anti-codon, and T loops).
Source: RNAcentral
GGUGGCGUGGUGUAGUCCGGUCAACAUGCUGGUCUGUCAAGUCGGAGAUCGCGAGUUCAAAUCUCGUCGCCACCG